Molecule: ribosomal RNA, 253 nt
Filed under: uncultured bacterium
Lineage: Bacteria
Description: partial 16S ribosomal RNA
Rfam family: Bacterial small subunit ribosomal RNA
Source: RNAcentral
UACGUAGGGUGCAAACGUUGCUCGGAAUUAUUGGGCGUAAAGCGCACGUAGGCGGCUUUGCAAGUCGGAUGUGAAAGCCCUCGGCUCAACCAAGGAAGUGCAUCCGAAACUGCAGAGCUUGAGUACUUAAGAGGAUCGCGGAAUUCCCGGUGUAGAGGUGAAAUUCGUAGAUAUCGGGAGGAACACCAGUGGCGAAGGCGGCGAUCUGGGAAGAUACUGACGCUGAGGUGCGAAAGCGUGGGGAGCAAACAGG